UACGAAGGGGGGCUAGCGUUGCUCGGAAUCACUGGGCGUAAAGCGCACGUAGGCGGAUCUUUUAAGUCAGGGGGUGAAAUCCCAAGGCUCAACCUUGGAACUGCCUUUGAUACUGGGGAUCUCGAGUCCGGAAGAGGUUGGUGGAACUGCGAGUGUAGAGGUGAAAUUCGUAGAUAUUCGCAAGAACACCAGUGGCGAAGGCGGCCAACUGGUCCGGUACUGACGCUGAGGUGCGAAAGCGUGGGGAGCAAACAGG
Molecule: ribosomal RNA, 256 nt
Filed under: uncultured bacterium
Lineage: Bacteria
Description: partial 16S ribosomal RNA
Rfam family: Bacterial small subunit ribosomal RNA
Source: RNAcentral